This 49-nucleotide transfer RNA is filed under the name Chelonia mydas (Green sea turtle). It matches the Rfam family "tRNA", at positions 24 to 71 of the family's 71-position model. From Rfam's summary of the family: Transfer RNA (tRNA) molecules are approximately 80 nucleotides in length. Their secondary structure includes four short double-helical elements and three loops (D, anti-codon, and T loops). Further hydrogen bonds mediate the characteristic L-shaped molecular structure. tRNAs have two regions of fundamental functional importance: the anti-codon, which is responsible for specific mRNA codon recognition, and the 3' end, to which the tRNAs corresponding amino acid is attached (by aminoacyl-tRNA synthetases). tRNAs cope with the degeneracy of the genetic code in two manners: having more than one tRNA (with a specific anti-codon) for a particular amino acid; and 'wobble' base-pairing, i.e. permitting non-standard base-pairing at the 3rd anti-codon position. The record is from Rfam by way of RNAcentral. Lineage: Eukaryota; Metazoa; Chordata; Testudines; Cheloniidae.
UAUCUGCUUUACAUGCAGAAAACCCUGGGUUCAAGCCCCAGUGAAACCA